AGCAGCCGCGGUAAUUCCAGCUCCAAUAGCGUAUAUUAAAGUUGUUGCAGUUAAAAAGCUCGUGGUUGAAUUUCGGGGUUCUACCGUUGGUCGGGCAAUAGUCUGUACUGGCGUGUAGAAUUUCUACCUUCUGGGGAACCAUCAUGUUAUUUAUUUAGCGUGGUGGGAAACCAGGACCUUUACCUUGAAAAAAUUAGAGUGCUCCAGGCAGGCCUAUGCUCGAAUACAUUAGCAUGGAAUAAUAGAAUAGGACGUGUGGUUCUAUUUUGUUGGUUUCUAGGACCGCCGUAAUGAUUAAUAGGGACAGUCGGGGGCAUCAGUAUUCAAUUGUCAGAGGUGAAAUUCUUGGAUUUAG
RNAcentral lists this ribosomal RNA (355 nucleotides) under uncultured Racocetraceae. RNAcentral describes it as "bacterial SSU rRNA". It matches the Rfam family "Eukaryotic small subunit ribosomal RNA", at positions 569 to 929 of the family's 1831-position model. The record is from RNAcentral. Lineage: Eukaryota; Fungi; Glomeromycota; Glomeromycetes; Diversisporales; Gigasporaceae.